GAAAAACAGUAGUCCAUAUCCGUGUAGCAUGACUAGGAAAAUAUGACUUAGCUUCACGUGGUAAAGAGUUCAGACCUCCUUGCUUCUAUGGUACAAUCCUCUUCCCGCUGAGCCUAUCCUCUUCCCGCUGAGCCUCCUUUCUUCCGUGAUUAACUGUUGGCACCAGUCCUACAUUUUGUCUCUGGUGACACCCAAUUUCUUCUUCUUACCACAGGCUGCCGG
RNAcentral lists this long non-coding RNA (222 nucleotides) under Brassica napus (rape). RNAcentral describes it as "long non-coding RNA (BNAP_LNC010659)". The record is from RNAcentral. Lineage: Eukaryota; Viridiplantae; Streptophyta; Magnoliopsida; Brassicales; Brassicaceae.